UGCACUGCCUCCCCUCACCCGCAAACUUC
Molecule: small RNA, 29 nt
Filed under: Bombyx mori (domestic silkworm)
Lineage: Eukaryota; Metazoa; Arthropoda; Insecta; Lepidoptera; Bombycidae
Description: ovarian small RNA-33481
Source: RNAcentral